This 795-nucleotide ribosomal RNA is filed under the name Plectolyngbya sp. UIC 10591. RNAcentral describes it as "bacterial SSU rRNA". It matches the Rfam family "Bacterial small subunit ribosomal RNA", at positions 465 to 1260 of the family's 1533-position model. Lineage: Bacteria; Bacillati; Cyanobacteriota; Cyanophyceae; Leptolyngbyales; Leptolyngbyaceae. The record is from RNAcentral.
AUCGAUGACGGUACCUGAUGAAUCAGCAUCGGCUAACUCCGUGCCAGCAGCCGCGGUAAUACGGAGGAUGCAAGCGUUAUCCGGAAUUAUUGGGCGUAAAGCGUCCGUAGGUGGUUUAUCAAGUCUGCUGUCAAAGCGUGCGGCUUAACCGCAUAAGGGCAGUGGAAACUGAUGAACUAGAGUGCGAUAGGGGUAACAGGAAUUCCCAGUGUAGCGGUGAAAUGCGUAGAUAUUGGGAAGAACACCAGCGGCGAAAGCGUGUUACUGGGUCUGCACUGACACUGAGGGACGAAAGCUAGGGGAGCGAAAGGGAUUAGAUACCCCUGUAGUCCUAGCCGUAAACGAUGACAACUAGGCGUGGUUCGUAUCGACCCGAGCCGUGCCGUAGCCAACGCGUUAAGUUGUCCGCCUGGGGAGUACGCACGCAAGUGUGAAACUCAAAGGAAUUGACGGGGGCCCGCACAAGCGGUGGAGUAUGUGGUUUAAUUCGAUGCAACGCGAAGAACCUUACCAAGGCUUGACAUCCUCGGAACCCUGAUGAAAGUUAGGGGUGCCUUCGGGAGCCGAGAGACAGGUGGUGCAUGGCUGUCGUCAGCUCGUGUCGUGAGAUGUUGGGUUAAGUCCCGCAACGAGCGCAACCCACGUUUUUAGUUGCCAGCAUUCAGUUGGGCACUCUAGAGAGACUGCCGGUGACAAACCGGAGGAAGGUGUGGAUGACGUCAAGUCAGCAUGCCCCAUACGCCUUGGGCUACACACGUACUACAAUGCGUCGGACAAAGAGCAGCCAGCCAGCGA